GCUCAUUCAAUUGCUUGACCAACCACUCAAUUAGACGAUCAUCGCAACCUGUAAUUAGAAAAUCGUCUACGUAAACGACAAACACGCAACGUAGAGGAUUUUCGGCAUCGAAGUAGACACACGGAUCAACUUUGCUCCUUACGAAACCGAGCGAAAAUGCUGAAUACCAAACGUCUUUGAUCUCCAUCGCCUUUAACUCUUCAUCUAUCGCUACACGCCAAAAUUUCGACUCAGGACCGUUUAACGCUUCUUCAUACGUAAGGUCAUCGACCCCAGCGAGUGCAAAGCAAGCAAAAUCGUCGCUACGUUCAUCCGAAGAUGAUGUAUCGAUUAAACUACGAUCUACUAAAUUAUCACCGCUACGUUCGGCUUCAGUCAGCUCAUCUGGGUUUAUCCAAUUGGAGCAACCAGGAGCUGAAUCAACGUUACUUACUGGUGUAACCGUAGGUACGAUAUUCACAUCGCUUACACUCACUGAUACCGAUGUUUUUAACAAAUGAUCGUUAAUAACAUCGUGUAUCUUACGCGUUUCGUCUACUUCUACGCAACUCGAAUUCGUAAAUUUAUUUCGUAAAACAUCGUACAAUACAUAACCUGUCUCUGUAAAACCGAGUAAAACCAUAUCGAUCGACUU
Planococcus citri (citrus mealybug) is the source of this 634-nucleotide long non-coding RNA. RefSeq lists it as uncharacterized. The record is from RefSeq and is a predicted model, not a curated record. The transcript has 2 exons. NCBI's taxonomy places the organism in Eukaryota, Metazoa, Arthropoda, Insecta, Hemiptera, Pseudococcidae.